Non-coding RNA from Caretta caretta (loggerhead turtle), 2386 nucleotides. The record is from RefSeq and is a predicted model, not a curated record. Lineage: Eukaryota; Metazoa; Chordata; Testudines; Cheloniidae.
CCCAGGUCCCAGUUUCCCAAUUCUCAGCGUGUCCCCCCUCCCCUAUGCCACACUCUGACCCCUCUCCCACUCUCAGGGGUGCCCCCUUUUUCUUGCGCACCCCAAAGAGAGGUGUCAGUGCAGAGGGUUGGGGAUAUUUUGGGAGCAAACCUCCCGUGGGCUGAAGCGUUUGCGUUUCAGCCUCACUGCCGCUUUCCACCAAUAACCCGCCUUCCCUGGGACUGGGGAGGCACAGUUGAAUAUUUGGGUGUGGGGAGAGAUCUGCCCUUCUGAAGCCCCCAUGUCACUCCCCCCCCCCCACACACACAUCCCGCUCUCUGUGUCCCUCUGGUCCCCCAGCCCCGCUUUCUGGGCCUCCCGGAUCACCCUGCUCCCCUGGCACCACAGCCCUCUGGUGCCCUCCUGUCGCUGCGCCUUGUGCCACUGAGCCGUUGUGGGGUUUGCUGUGUUGCAGCCAUGGCCUGUGGCGCUCUGGCGGAGGAGCUGGAUGCCGUGCUGAGCGGGAGGGGUUGGGAGGUGCAGGAGAGGUACGACUCUGCCCCUGUGCCCGCUCACCCUGUCAGAGUGCGGAAGACCGCCUGCUACAUCGUCCUGGCUGUCCUGCUUAACGACCAGAACGAGGUGCUGAUGAUGCAGGAGGCCAAGCAUGAGUGCUAUGGGACGUGGUACCUGCCUGCCGGGAGGAUGGAGCCCAACGAGACCAUCCUGGAGGCCAUGAAGAGGGAGGUGAAGGAGGAGACGGGGCUGGAGUGUGAGCCUCUCACCCUGCUGGCAGUGGAAGAGAGAGGCUCCAUCUGGAUUCGCUACGUCUUCCUCGCUCGGCCAACUGGCGGGACCUUGAAGGCACCCCAUGAUGCAGAUGCUGAAUCCCUCCAAGCCAGGUGGUGGGACAGAGAAUCUCCUGCCCUUCCUCUGCGAGCUCGGGAUAUCCUGCCCCUUAUGGACCUUGCUGUGCGAUACCGAGACAGCCCAUCCUACCCCAUGACCUUGCCGGAGGAGAUGCCCUGUGCCUUGAUCUGCCAGAGGCUCCUGGCUACGUUCACCAAUGAUGCCGGUGACUUGUGGGUGCUGCUGAGUGCUGUAGGGGCCCCACACCUGCCAGUGUGUGCCCGCACCACCUCCCCCUGCAAAAUCCAAAACAGCAUCCAGGCAGCAGCCUGCAGCCUGCUGAAGGAAUGCUGCCUGCUACCGCAAGUGACUGUCCGGGCCCACGGGGUUCUGGGGCUGCAGCACCUGGGCAAGAAUGCAGGGAAAUCUGACGGUGUUUGCUUCAACGUGCUGCUGACUGUUACGCAGGGUGACCAGAGCACCCAGGAGACGCCACCAGAGCUGCAGGGUGAGAGCUUCCAGUGGUGGAAGAUCAAGGAGAGCAACUUGAGAAGCAGAAUCCUCCAGAGGCUCAGCUCGUCAGCCGUUGUCCCAAUUCACAGCUACUGACACAGGAUCUCAUUGAAGCUUGGAUUCAGAGACCUUUCCCUGGGCAUGGGACACGCUUCACCCCGUUACGGCCAUUGGCUGUCCCCACGCAGCCAUCCCGAGGAUGAUGCAUGGCUUCACCGCAGGGCACGUCCUACUCAGCCGCUGCCAACCACAGACCCAUUUCCCCAGCAUGGUUAUGGAAGGAUAAUCUGGUACAGCUACACUGUCCCUGCUUCUGGCAACCAUGAAGAAAGUGUGAGAGAAACAAACUGGAGUCCAGCUGAACUGUGAGAAAAUUAAAGGGAAUCCUCUGGGAUAACGUUAAGACAAACACUUAGGUUUUAUUUACAAAUAGGUUUUCCCAAAGGCAGUGUGAAUACACGUUUUCACAACCCAAAUGUAAGCGAAAACUGGUUUGGUUUAGGAAGUAAAUAUUUCCCUUCAGCACUGGUAAAAACCAUUUGAGCACUGAAAAACAGACUAGAAACGGCAGUGAAAAUGACCAGACUUAGAUCACUAUCCCAGCUCAGCACAAUGCAUAAAAAUACCCUAAGUAAUGCUUUGCCCUUCCAAUGUACAUUUUAAGGCUCUCAUAGUGUUUCACAAACAUUAUUAAUUAAUUUAUAUUGCUUAAUGAACUUCACUUGAAUAAAUUAAGCUUCUCAGCUGCCCUAUGGUGAAAAAAAUCAAUUAGAUUAUUUUUUCAUUUUCAAAAGGUUUGUUGUUAUUCAUCAGUCCUACAACAUGAUGAAAUGGAAAAAACAAGCAAGAAUGAAUCAUCGUAGAGAUAAAGGGUAGACAGUACUGAGUGUACCUGAUUUUUAUAAACAAAGCUGUAGCUCAUGAAAGCUUAUGCUCAAAUAAAUUGGUUAGUCUCUAAGGUGCCACAAGUACUCCUUUUCUUUUUGAGAAUACAGACUAACACAGCUGCUACUCUGAAACCUGACAAUAAAGACUAAUAUUUCCA